GGAGGGAGUUUCUGCAGGUCAGCGGCGCGCGUGUGGCCCUCUUGAAAACCGCUAUGGGUUCAUAGCCCAUCGUGGGUUCGAAUCCCACGCCCUCCGCCA
Molecule: transfer RNA, 99 nt
Filed under: Terrabacter sp. MAHUQ-38
Lineage: Bacteria; Bacillati; Actinomycetota; Actinomycetes; Micrococcales; Intrasporangiaceae
Also listed under: 1 other name
Description: tRNA-Ser
Source: RNAcentral